This 573-nucleotide ribosomal RNA is filed under the name Naganishia globosa. RNAcentral's name for it is "eukaryotic LSU rRNA". It matches the Rfam family "Eukaryotic large subunit ribosomal RNA", at positions 71 to 634 of the family's 3401-position model. Lineage: Eukaryota; Fungi; Basidiomycota; Tremellomycetes; Filobasidiales; Filobasidiaceae. The record is from RNAcentral.
AGGAUUCCCCUAGUAACGGCGAGUGAAGCGGGAAGAGCUCAAAUUUGAAAUCUGGUAGCCUUCGGUUGCCCGAGUUGUAAUCUAGAGAAGUGUUUUCCGCGUUGGCCCAUGUACAAGUCCCUUGGAACAGGGCGUCAUAGAGGGUGAGAAUCCCGUCCUUGACAUGGACCCCCAAUGCUUUGUGAUACACUUUCAACGAGUCGAGUUGUUUGGGAAUGCAGCUCAAAAUGGGUGGUGAAUUCCAUCUAAAGCUAAAUAUUGGCGAGAGACCGAUAGCGAACAAGUACCGUGAGGGAAAGAUGAAAAGCACUUUGGAAAGAGAGUUAAACAGUACGUGAAAUUGUUGAAAGGGAAACGAUUGAAGUCAGUCAUGCUCUUUGGAUUAAGCCGUUCUGCGGUGUAUUUCAUUGAGCGGGGUCAACAUCAGUUUUGAUCGCUGGAAAAGGGCAGGAGGAAGGUAGCACUCUCGGGUGAACUUAUAGCCUCUUGUCGUAUACAGUGAUUGGGACUGAGGAACGCAGCAUGCCUUUUGGCCGGGAUUCGUCCACGUACAUGCUUAGGAUGUUGACAUAA